RNAcentral lists this long non-coding RNA (493 nucleotides) under Bos taurus (domestic cattle). RNAcentral describes it as "long non-coding RNA NONBTAT006044". Lineage: Eukaryota; Metazoa; Chordata; Mammalia; Artiodactyla; Bovidae. The record is from RNAcentral.
AACUCAUCUUUUGUUAAAUACUUUAUCUCAGACCAUUCUGAUCCUAUCUCUUACCUGCCUAUAAAUGACCUUCGCUGAUUUUGUUUUGUGUGUUAGAUACAACUUCUCAGCCUAAGAAUCUCCUAGGUACCAGCACACCUCUAGGUUAUCUUCUGGCACUUCUCACCUCUACACAUGCCUGGUAUGAGUUUCAUCAUCCAGAAACGUUCUUCGAUCUUGUUCAUCUUUCAAAGUCAUCCUUCAAAGCAGAACUGGCACCUCAGCCAGCCUCCAGCUUCUAGAUAGUGACUGCUCUCCCUUCCACCACCUCUGCUUCAUGUUACACAAGUAAACUGUCAUCUCCCCAUCUAAAUCUAAAACCGUUAAGGAACUAUGAAUGACUCGUUUCUAAACUCCUAGAACUUUGUAGAGAGCUUGGCACUUAGUAAAAUGUUGAAAGUAAUGAAUUAUUCAAGUUGAAAGUUGACUAGGUAAGGUACUGUGGAAAACUUCU